UACGUAGGGCGCAAGCGUUGUCCGGAAUUAUUGGGCGUAAAGAGCUCGUAGGCGGUCUGUCGCGUCCGCUGUGAAAACUCGAGGCUCAACCUCGGGCUUGCAGUGGAUACGGGCAGACUAGAGUGCGGUAGGGGAGACUGGAAUUCCUGGUGUAGCGGUGGAAUGCGCGGAUAUCAGGAGGAACACCGGUGGCGAAGGCGGCAUCCUGGACCGGUAUUGACGCUGAUGCGCGAAAGCCAGGGGAGCAAACGGG
Molecule: ribosomal RNA, 253 nt
Filed under: uncultured bacterium
Lineage: Bacteria
Description: partial 16S ribosomal RNA
Rfam family: Bacterial small subunit ribosomal RNA
Source: RNAcentral